RNA transcript from Otolemur garnettii (small-eared galago), 905 nucleotides. It is a transcript of the gene named 60S ribosomal protein L14 pseudogene, with no coding region annotated. The transcript is spliced from 2 exons. NCBI's taxonomy places the organism in Eukaryota, Metazoa, Chordata, Mammalia, Primates, Galagidae. The record is from RefSeq and is a predicted model, not a curated record.
AUGUCCCCACAGAAUGGAUUUUGGGCCAUCAGGCUCUAUGAGGGGGAGUACUGGGCCCUCACCUCCCCAGAAACUCAGCUUACACUGAGAGAUAACCCCCACACAGUGGGGAUAUUCCUGGAUUAUGAAGCUGGAGAUGUAUCAUUCUAUAACAUGACAGAUGGAUCCCACAUGUUCACCUUUCCCCAAAGCGCAUUCUAUGGUGUUCUGAGACCUCUUUUCAGGCUUUGGUCCUCUGACUCAGUGGCCUACGUCUCCUUUGGGUCUCAUGCUGGAAAGCUUGUAGCGAAUGUAGAUGUUAUGAUAAAACAGGGCUUUAGUUGAUGGACCCUGCACUCAGGUAAGAAGACAGGCCAUGCCUUUCAAAUGCAUGCAACUCACUGACUUCAUCCUCAAGUUCCCACACAGUGCCCGCCAGAAGUAUGUCCGACAAGCCUGGCAGAAGGCCGAUAUAAAUACAAAAUGGGCAGCCACAAGAUGGGCCAAGAAAAUGGAAGCCAGAGAAAGGAAAGCUAAGAUGAUAGAUUUUGAUUUAAAAUUCGUUUAAAAGUUAUGAAGGCAAAGAAAAUGAAGAACAGAAUAAUCAAGAAUGAAGUUAAGAAGCUUCAAAAAGCAGCUCUUCUGAAAGCUUCUCCCCAAAAAGCACCUGCUAAGCUGCUGCUGCUGUUGCAGCGGCUGCUGCUAAAGUUCCAGCAAAAAAGAUGACCACUGCAGGCUAGAAGGCUGCAGCCCAGAAGGUCCCUGCCCAGAAAGCCACAGGCCAGAAGGCAGCACCUCCUCCAAAAGCUCAGAAGGGUCAAAAGGCUCCCGCCCAGAAAGCACCUGCUCCAAAGGCAUCUGGAAAGAAAGCAUAAGAGGCUAUAAUGAAAGUAAUAAAGGUUCUUUCUGACAAAAAAAAAAAAAAA